RNAcentral lists this ribosomal RNA (465 nucleotides) under uncultured bacterium. RNAcentral describes it as "partial 16S ribosomal RNA". It matches the Rfam family "Bacterial small subunit ribosomal RNA", at positions 338 to 795 of the family's 1533-position model. The record is from RNAcentral.
CCUACGGGUGGCAGCAGUAGGGAAUCUUCCACAAUGGGCGCAAGCCUGAUGGAGCAACACCGCGUGAGUGAAGAAGGGUUUCGGCUCGUAAAGCUCUGUUGUUGGAGAAGAACGUGCGUGAGAGUAACUGUUCACGCAGUGACGGUAUCCAACCAGAAAGUCACGGCUAACUACGUGCCAGCAGCCGCGGUAAUACGUAGGUGGCAAGCGUUAUCCGGAUUUAUUGGGCGUAAAGCGAGCGCAGGCGGUCGCUUAGGUCUGAUGUGAAAGCCUUCGGCUUAACCGGAGAAUUGCAUCAGAAACUGUUGAACUUGAGUGCAGAAGAGGAGAGUGGAACUCCAUGUGUAGCGGUGGAAUGCGUAGAUAUAUGGAAGAACACCAGUGGCGAAGGCGGCUCUCUGGUCUGCAACUGACGUUGAGGCUCGAAAGCGUGGGGAGCAAACAGGAUUAGAUACCCUUGUAGUC